ACACGAGAAGGGAGGUGGUCCAAGCUUUGUAUGCACAUAGGACUCGUGAGGUGACUGUCCGCUAGCCGGUCUCGUGGUCCUCACCCUCUUGCCGGGUGGCCCUCGGGCACCGGCACCGGCGAGUACCAGGCAGACACCGGACCCCCGGGUGCCGUCGAUCAGUCCCGACGGCCCAUCCCUCCCAUCCUGGGCGGGGUGGAGCACCCGGGGGUCACUGCUU
This 220-nucleotide small RNA is filed under the name Frankia sp. R43. RNAcentral's name for it is "Actinobacteria sRNA Ms_IGR-5". It matches the Rfam family "Actinobacteria sRNA Ms_IGR-5". The record is from Rfam by way of RNAcentral. Lineage: Bacteria; Bacillati; Actinomycetota; Actinomycetes; Frankiales; Frankiaceae.